Molecule: long non-coding RNA, 579 nt
Filed under: Pan troglodytes (chimpanzee)
Lineage: Eukaryota; Metazoa; Chordata; Mammalia; Primates; Hominidae
Description: long non-coding RNA NONPTRT004749
Source: RNAcentral
CAAAACCCUUCACCUAAAACCGGAAGCUACCCAGACCUCAGAAUUUUAGAUGUCUAUUAAGUUGGCGGUCCCCAGCAGUUCUUUAUAGAAGUGUGAAAACAGACUAAUACAAUCCUGAAGCAUUUCAUCAAAGAAUUGUAACAGGAGAUGAAACAUGGCUUCACCAGUAUGAUCCUGAAGAAAAAGUGCAAUCAAAGCAAUGGCUAUCAAGAGGAGGAAGUCAAAGCAAAGCAGACCAGUCAAGAGCAAAGGUUGGAGUGGCUCUAGUGACAACUCACUCUGUUCUCAUGGUCAUAAAUCCCUGCUCAUUGCUGCCACUGCUGCUGCUACCACAGACCAAGAGCUCCACUUGCACAGUGCUGCUGGCUAAGAAGAAGUUGCUGUACCUGAGCCCUGGACCACAUGGACUCACAGAGACUCCCAACCAGGUCUGCUGCAGUUUGCUGGAGGUCCACUCCAGACCCUAUGUACCUGGAUAUCACCAGCGGAGGCUGCAGAAUAGCAAAGAUUGCUUCCUGGUCCUUCCUCUGGAAGCUUCAUCCCAGAGGGGCACUGGCCUGAUGUCAGCUGGAGCUCUCC